GGAGCCUGUUGCAUCAAGGCCUGGGGUGGCAGGUGCUUUCCCAGGGGCUGUCUGCUAUGUGCCUGUGCCAGCCCCUUGUCCUGCUGGGCUCUGCCCAGGGAGCAGGGCAGCCCAGGUCUCCCAAAACUCUGCCCUGCAGGCUUCACACAUACCCAGCCGCCAUGUCUGCAUUCCACAUUAUUAGCAGGAUUGUGCUCAGGACUGCGGGAGGCAGCGGUUCUUGUCCAAGAGGGUGUUAUGGAUUUGCGGCAGGGGACCUGUGGCAGUUGGUACUUGAUGAUGAUUACUGCAUCCAAAGAUGCACAAAUGGUAGCUGCCUAUUCCCAGAGUUGGGUGUCACCCCGAGCAGCCCAUCUGCUUUGAUGAUGCUUUAAGGACAACACCGUCAAACCCAUACUGGUAGACCCCUCACCAGUGUCCUGUGGAGAUAUUCAUGAAAAUUUAGCAACUUUGAAAAAGAAGGAUGUUGAACUGUCAUGAGCUGGUUGGUACUGACAGAAGGAGCACUUUAAGCAUUAAAGCUAUUGCAGGGGAGAAUCUUCUGAGCCCAGUGGUAGAAAUGCACUGAUAGCAGUUUUCCCUUGGAGCUCACCAUACUGGCCAGGACUGAGUUGCAGUUCUGGGGACUUCUGGGGGGAAGAAACUCACAAAUAAACUGAAUGUGAGGCAUUCA
RNAcentral lists this long non-coding RNA (673 nucleotides) under Cyanistes caeruleus (blue tit). Its description in RNAcentral is "lncRNA (ENSCCEG00000019487.1)". Lineage: Eukaryota; Metazoa; Chordata; Aves; Passeriformes; Paridae. The record is from RNAcentral.